GACGAACGCUGGCGGCGCGCCUAACACAUGCAAGUCGAACGGAGCUGAGAGAAGCUUGCUUUUCUUAGCUUAGUGGCGAACGGGUGAGUAACGCGUGAGUAACCUGCCCUGGAGUGGGGGACAACAGUUGGAAACGACUGCUAAUACCGCAUAAGCCCACGAUCCGGCAUCGGAUUGAGGGAAAAGGAUUUAUUCGCUUCAGGAUGGACUCGCGUCCAAUUAGCUAGUUGGUGAGGUAACGGCCCACCAAGGCGACGAUUGGUAGCCGGACUGAGAGGUUGAACGGCCACAUUGGGACUGAGACACGGCCCAGACUCCUACGGGAGGCAGCAGUGGGGGAUAUUGCACAAUGGGGGAAACCCUGAUGCAGCGACGCCGCGUGGAGGAAGAAGGUUUUCGGAUUGUAAACUCCUGUCGUUAGGGACGAUAAUGACGGUACCUAACAAAAAAGCACCGGCUAACUACGU
Molecule: ribosomal RNA, 467 nt
Filed under: uncultured bacterium
Lineage: Bacteria
Description: partial 16S ribosomal RNA
Rfam family: Bacterial small subunit ribosomal RNA
Source: RNAcentral